AGCCAUAUGAAGAUAUCUAUGGUUUUACCUGCCCAAUGUGCAAAGACUUAAUCAAUGGCCGCGGUACUUUGACCGUGCUAAGGUAGCAUAAUCAUUUGGCUUUUAAAUGGAGUCGGGAAUGAAUGGAAUAACUGGGUUUAGCUGUCUCUAAAGUGAUUUAUUGAAUUUACUUUUCAAGUGAAAAAGCUUGAAUUUAUUAGGGGGACGAGAAGACCCUUAAAAUUUUUUAAAAUAAUAACUGUUGUUAUUUACUAUUUUGUUGGGGCGACAUGGGAGUAGUAAUAACCUCCUGUAAAAUUAUUAGACGGUAUUGUCAGGCGUAUAUAAAUUACUUAAGGGAUAACAGCAUAAUUCUAUAUUUGAGUUUGUGACCUCGAUGUUGGACUAGGAAGCUAGUGGGUUAGAUGCUCACUUUGGGGAUUCUGUUCGAAUUUUAACUCCU
This 442-nucleotide ribosomal RNA is filed under the name Tenellia sp. B DS-2016. Its description in RNAcentral is "partial 16S ribosomal RNA". It matches the Rfam family "Bacterial large subunit ribosomal RNA", at positions 1832 to 2596 of the family's 2925-position model. The record is from RNAcentral. Lineage: Eukaryota; Metazoa; Mollusca; Gastropoda; Nudibranchia; Trinchesiidae.